UCUCCGUAGGUGAACCUGCGGAGGGAUCAUUACCGAGUGAGGGGGCCCCGCGCCCCCGACCUCCCAACCCUUUGUUUCAACCCACUCUGUUGCCUCGGGGGGCGACCCGGCCUUCGGGCGUCGGGGCCCCCGGUGGACCACCCAACCCUGCAUCGUUGCGUCUGAGUCGAAAUAUAAAUCAAUCAAAACUUUCAACAACGGAUCUCUUGGUUCUGGCAUCGAUGAAGAACGCAGC
This 235-nucleotide unclassified non-coding RNA is filed under the name uncultured fungus. RNAcentral describes it as "sequence contains ITS1, 5.8S rRNA gene". The stretch from base 187 to 235 matches the Rfam family "5.8S ribosomal RNA", at positions 1 to 49 of the family's 154-position model. Lineage: Eukaryota; Fungi. The record is from RNAcentral.